Dermacentor andersoni is the source of this 2239-nucleotide long non-coding RNA. RefSeq lists it as uncharacterized. Lineage: Eukaryota; Metazoa; Arthropoda; Arachnida; Ixodida; Ixodidae. The record is from RefSeq and is a predicted model, not a curated record.
CUCAUAUUGCCAUUGUAUUCUUGGCGAAGCUACAGCGGAGAUAUUUCUUUUAUUGUCAUAGAAACUGCAGGGACGCUCGUGGCGAAAUUCCGCCGCUGCGGCGCAGCCAGUGCAGCUGCGCCGCGGUUCCUUCGCGCGCGGCUUGAGCGUCAAAGGAACUUAGCUCGGCAAGGCCUGGAAACGCGUUGGGGCUCGAAGCAGCGAGAAAGGAUCGCUUGUCGCUUCAGCACGCCAGCAUUGCGGCAGCGAAUUUCCGGUAUGUCGUCCAGAGAGAUGUAUUCGUGGUCGCCUGUGCACACGGCACAGACAACAAUUUAAUCGCCAUGCUCUGUGCCUUCCAUCAGGCUGAUGUCACUUUGGGUCGACAUCAUUAUUCGUUGCUGCUCAGUACUGGAGCAAGCCCACAGAUAUCGGUUAGCUUUCUUAGCACCUCUGAUUGGAACAGUGCAUUUUCGUGUGCAUGACCGCUGAAAUGAUCCUGCAGCAUGGCUAGUAAAUUAUGUAGCUGCGGACGUACCCGUGAUGUCUUCUGUUCUGUAUCUGCACCAAGUGGUAACUUCCUCGGCGGCUGAUGUACCGGCGAACUCUGGGAUAGCUUGUCUUUCAAAAAAUAAAGCGCCAACAGUGACAUCACAAUAAGAAGGAACAAAGACAGGACAGUGCUCUGUCACUGUUGGCGCUAUGAACUAACUAGCCCCACAACGUGUUCUACUGCAAUAACUUGUCUCUGUGACUGUUGAAGCAAGUUCACAGAAAUGCCCCACUAAAUUUCUUAGCACCUGUAAACUACAGUGAACCUUGUGCCUGCAAACGCUUAAGCCAGCCUGCAGCAAGCUUUAGUAAAUUGUGUAGUCGGGAAGACACCUGCAAUCUUUUCAGAAAUAUUUGUAUCUGCCGCCAUGGAAGAACAGCCACCAUCAGCCUCUGGUCACUUUCUUUGAGGCCGUCUGAUAUCAGGGACUCGUUAGGAGGAAUUUGUUUGUGUGACUGCUGAAGCAAGCCGACUCAAACGCUGCUAACCUUUGGUACGGGUGACCUCAGAGAAUGUAUUCUUGUGUCUGUGACCUCUGAAGCAAGCACGUUGCAAGGUGUUAGUGAAGUGUGUAGUAGCGAACGUACCUGUGACGUCUUCAGCAUUAUUUGGCUGCGACCACGGAAGAAAGGCCGCAUUCAGACUUAUGUUAAUUUUCUUAGAGGCCUUCGAGCUGCGAAUUGAAGUGAAUUUGUAUACGUGACCACUCAAGAACAGCAAGGAUUUUGUAAAUUCUAGUACCUCUGAACUCUGUUUGGUUUGGUGCUGAAGCAAGUGUCUUGUAACUGCUUUUGUACCUGUGUACCCUUAUGUUGCGUUCAUGUCUGUAAAUGCUAAAGUGGGCCUUUAGUAAUCCUAUUAUUGACCAAUGUAUCUCUAAAAUCGUUGGUAUUUUUACUGUGUGUGACCGCUGAAGUAAGCCCGCAGAAAUCCUGAACGAAGUAGAUUCCUUGAUGGCUGAGACCUCUGAACUUUUCAGCAAAUGUGCUUAUGUACCGGCAACCGCUGAAGUGAGCCAGCCCGCAGUAGGCCUCUUAGUAACUUCCUUUGUACCCCACCCUACAAAGGGAUUUCAAAAUUCUUUUACUGGUCGAGGUGCAUCUGCAAAAUAUUAGCUCAAGUGAAAUUGUCUCAUCACUACUCGAAAAUGUUUGCUCUAAUGACUUUCACCAGUAUGUGUCAUGGACGCAGAGUGCAUUUGCACUAUUAAUGAGUGACCAUACAGCGGCUGUUCGCGUCUACGGCCGAUGAACUAGUAUCAAGUAACUUCAUUAACGCCUAAUGUAGUUGUCAUACCUUGAGCAUAACUUGUGCUGCUGUAACUACUGAAGACGGCCCGCAGAAAGGCUCUAGCAACUUUGUUAUAGUGCCUAACAUAUAUGAACUUACCAGCAAAGUUUUCGUUGAUCGGCCUGCGACCACGAAUGUGAGCCUGCAGCAAGCCUCAUGAUAACUUCUUAGUGGCCCCACUGCGAGUUAAGUUUUCUUGCUAUCGAAUGUGCAUUUGUAAACAGUUUAAUUCCUGCACACUUUUAUUGGCCAUAGUGCGUCAUGACUUCUAAUGGCUGAGCUUGUAUGAUGAAAUUAUUGGGCCUUAUUUGUUUGCAUUGAUGUGCUUUACUGAAAACUGCUUAGUGCAUUUGAGAGUUGAACUUGUAAUCUUCCUGCAAGUGUUUUAUUGAAUUAAAUGCGGCAUUUUUAAUGAGA